RNAcentral lists this ribosomal RNA (434 nucleotides) under uncultured bacterium. RNAcentral describes it as "bacterial SSU rRNA". It matches the Rfam family "Bacterial small subunit ribosomal RNA", at positions 958 to 1392 of the family's 1533-position model. The record is from RNAcentral.
AACGCGAAGAACCUUACCUAGGCUUGACAUGUAUUGCUAAGCACGUGAAAGCGUGUGACUCUUCGGAGACCUUACACAGGUGCUGCAUGGCCGUCGUCAGCUCGUGUCGUGAGAUGUUUGGUUAAGUCCAGCAACGAGCGCAACCCCUGUGGAUAGUUGCCAGCACGUAAUGGUGGGGACUCUAUCCAGACUGCCCAGGUCAACUGGGAGGAAGGUGGGGAUGACGUCAGGUCAGUAUGGCCCUUACGCCUAGGGCUGCACACGUACUACAAUGCCCAGUACAAUGAGAACCGAUACCGCGAGGUGGAGGAAAUCUACAAAACUGGGCCCAGUUCGGAUUGGAGGCUGCAACUCGCCUCCAUGAAGUUGGAAUCGCUAGUAAUGGCACAUCAGCUACGGUGCCGUGAAUACGUUCCCGGGCCUUGUACACACCG